Molecule: long non-coding RNA, 8741 nt
Filed under: Arabidopsis lyrata
Lineage: Eukaryota; Viridiplantae; Streptophyta; Magnoliopsida; Brassicales; Brassicaceae
Description: long non-coding RNA (ALYR_LNC001056)
Source: RNAcentral
UGUAUUUUAUAUAUGGGACUCCGAAGAACUCGGAAAAUGUUUUCAACGAUCAAAAUCACACCAAACCAAAAUUCAACAUUUUCCUGCAACUUUUUGUUUUUCUCUUAAUUAUCUUAGCAACCAAGAAGAAGAAAAAACAGGGGAAAAAUAAAACUCUUUUUUCUUCUUCUUCUUCUGAAUUUCUCAGUUGCUUUUUUAUUUCUCUUUUGAAUCUGUUUUAUUGAUCGGUGAGAGACAUUCUACAUAACCAAUUUUUUAACGGUUGAUUUUUCUCUUUGGAAAGAAAACCAACAGGGUAGAUAUCAUAAACUCAUGUGCCUUUAGAAUCCUUCUAUCUUCAGUGGUAAUGAUAAUCCGACUUCCAGAACCAAACAAAGAAAGCUGCCAAGGCCUCAAAUUGCUGUAGAUUGUCUACAUCAUCAAGAAUGAUAAGCACUCAUGAAUCUUGUAGCCAUUCCUUGAUUGCAUCUAAAUUAUUUAUCCUCAUAUCCCUUUUGUUGAAAAUCUUGGACAGAAGUUGGUUUUGUAAACACAACAUGGAAUCAUAGUCAUCAACACCCAUUAUGCUCUUAUAACUUCCUUUGAGGUUCCCCAUAAAACAAACUAAGUGGAAACUCGCUACAAAGUUGGUUAUAUAGAGCUCUAGCAAUGGUAGUCUUACAAAUUCCCGCAGGACCCCAAAUUACAAUCAUCUUCACGUCAUCGCAUCCAAGGCAUUAAGAGAGACGAUUUACAUACCAAUUGAGAGAGUGUUCCCCAGCAAUGGUUACAUACCAAUAAGCCAUUCAGUCUGUUUGAAACAUCAAUAAGAGGCGAUUAGCCCUAACAUAUGCAAACAAAAUCAUGUUAAGGAGUCUAAAUUUCCUUAAAGUGAAGCAUUUCCAAAAGAUAACUAAGUUCAUUAAGAGACGAUUUACAUACCAAUUAAGAGAGUGUCCCCGGCAAUCUGAGCUUCACCUCCUCAGUUUUCCCUUGACAAGUCUUCUCGAAAGCGCUCCCGAAAUCUCCCUCCCGUUUCCGUACAUCAGACGGAUAAACGUCUUAAAAAAUGGUCAUCACAAUCUGCUCUUGAGCUUCUUCGCACUUCAAGAUUUCAGCCAAUUCAUCUAAACACCAGCUGGAAGAAGCGUACCUUCUUCGAGAGCACCACAAUCGAGACUCUAGAUUCUCUAAUCGCUUGUACGAGCUCAGGUCCAAUCGUGUGGCCUCUCUUGAUCUCCUGAUCAUUGAAAGUUGUGAUUCCUUUUGCUUGCGAAAUGACAGUGUAAAUGACUGAGAAACCCUCUACGGAAAUCUGGACCGUGAAAGCUCGAAAAGACAUGGAAUCUCUUCAUACGAGACGAAGAAAAAGAAGCCAUGAAACAGAUUGGUAAAUUUUGAGAUUGAAGAAGAAGGUACCACAAUGGUUUUGGAUAAGCAAUCUAUGGAGUAGAAAACAAGUCUCUCGCUUAUAUAAUUGAAGAAAACGCGUAACGAGAGGAUUGAAAUUUCAAAGGGAUUUGUCUCUCUGUAGAGAAAAAUACAAAAAAUGUUUCCCUCAAAGUCGUCGAUGACCCAUAAGAGUGUUUCCUCAUGGUCUUGAGAACCUCAUAAGGUUUUGAAUUUUUGGCAAUCGGAAUUUUAUUUCGUAGAGAUGAGCUCAGAGCUGAAGCAUGAGACUCGGUGAGAAGAUGAUCGGAGGAAGAAGAAAGAACCAGACAUGAUUCAAAAUUAGGGAUCUUAAAACUCUCGAUAUCCAAUUGUAAAUUUGGUUUGAAAAACUAAACCGGCCUUUUCAAUUCGAUCAAAAUUGGUUUUCUGGUUAGGUUUUCUGGUUAGAAACAAAAAAAGAAAUUAGAGAUUUUCUUAGCAACCAAGAAGAACACAAAAACAGGGGAAAAACACAACUCCGUUUUUUCUUCUUCUUCUUCUGAUCCUCAGUUGCUUUCAAAUUCUCUUUUGAAUCUGUUGUAUUGAUCGGUGAGAGACACUCUACAUAACCAAUUUUUCAACGGUUGAUUUUGUCUUCAUCAAUUUUUUCAAUUUGAGAUUGUUUAUUUGGAUGAUCAGGUCGGAGAUUUACUCUGUUUUGGUUUUUGUAUGAUAGGCUUUUGUAUGCUCGAUUGAUCGAUCCUUAAAUCAUAAAGGAUCUUCAUUUCAGGUUUGGCCUCAAAACCCUAUGUUGCUUCUUCUUGAUCUAUAUAUAUCUUAAUGUUCUAUGGUCUCAGCUUCUGUUCUUUGCUACUACGUCUACACUCAGUUUCUUAGUAAAAGAGAAGUUAUCACAGAGUUACAAUGGUUCUGAAUAAGCCAUCUAUUGAAUACAACAGUAGUUUCUUACUUACCUGGAAAGCAAAUAUACACAAGACAAUAACUAACCCUAAUGCAAUGGUGCUGCUUGCAUUCAAUAGUCUUGUUCUCAUUGUCCCAGUAAGUGAACUCGAACAGAACCUUGCUCAUGGUCACAUCCACUUCGUUAAAUAUUUAUGCUUUGUUGAUGAUACAAGUCACCACCAAAUUAUAAAAACAGAUGUUCUGAUAGAGAACGAGUUGACACAUCUGAUUAAAGACAUGCGGGAUUACUCUUCUUGAUUCGUCUAGUUUCACACAGUUGCAGGAAUAACAAUAGAAUCUCUUCAAUGAUUCACACUUUGCUUACAUUUUCGACACUCAACGGACUCCAAAAGAUCGAUAUGUGACACAGAGUUUUCUGCAUUUGUGGAUGCUACGUUCUUUUUAAGACUUUUCGUUGCUGCUACUCUGAGUUUUAUCCAUCAAAUCCAUGCACUGCACUCAAUGAUCUGACAUAUUUACUGCUUGUGACAUUUUCAUCUUUAGAGAUCCGAGCGGCUCCAUCCUCAAUCGCAUUUGAUUCUUCUGUGUUUCUGGGACAACUUAGUGUGAAAAAUAAAGUGAUGUUUCACGGUGGAGCUUUUUGUCUUCUUUUUCUUAGACCAACAACCUGUGUGUUUAGCGUUAUCCACAUUCUCAACAUUUUGGUAGCCAAUGUUGCCUACGGCUUCAGGUUCACAGUCCAAAUAUUCAUCAUAUCCUUCUUUCAAGAUCUGUAUACCACACUCAAUAAUCUUGUUGUUAUCUGAGCAAGUGAAUUCGAACAGAAUCUCGCUUUGUGAGUGUACUCCACAGAGAGUUCUUUUCCGGGUAAGCAGACAUAUUUGGCUUUCAAAUGGUGUAUGAUUUCUCUUCAAAGGCUCGCCUACUAAAUUAAACCAACUACUACUUGGUCUUGGACAUAUCAAAAUUCAGUAAGAUAUAUGUAAAAACUUACUGUUCCGUUUCCUAGUACAUUGAGAAUGUCUUCAGUUUCUAUUAAGAAAAUGGUGUUUAUUGGCAUUUCCAUAUUUCGUAAAGAUUUGCUGUUUAUUGUUGGUUUGGUUGGUUGCUGCUACUAUUAGUUUAAAACGGAUCAAAUUCGGGUUUAUUGGCAUUUCCAUAUUUCGGGUUUCCAAAUUGGUUGGUUGGAGUUAUCCGAGAUACGGAGAUGCCAAUAAACGUCAAUUUUUAAUGGAGUAGAGAUAGUGAUGCCAAAUUGGGUGCAUCACCAUCUCUUGAUGCGAGCAAGACGAAGAAGGAGAAGAAGCCAUGAAAGAUAUGGUAAGCUUUGAUAUGGACGAUGAAGGUAUCACAACUGUUUUGGAUAAGCUAUCUACGGAACUGAUAUUUCAAAGGACUUUGUCCUCCUUGUAUAGAAAAAUACAAAAACAAAAUGUUUCCCCCAAAGUCGGUGAGGACCCCAUCCAUCCAUAAGGUUUGAUUUCGUUAAGAUUUGCUGUUUAUUAUUGGUUUGGUUUGGUUGCUGCUACUAUUAGUUUCAUAGUAAAAGAGAUGUUGAAAAAGUUAUCACAGAGUUUGCAAUUGUUCUGAAUAAGCCUAUGUAGCAGAACAAUGAAAGCAACUCUCUGUGAAGAAUUAAGAAAAUUGGAGCUAGGGGAUCAGAUAUUCCAGUCUCUCUACAGAUUUGGUCAUUUGGAUAAUCAGAAAUGUACACAAUUAUGUUUGCUCAUCAGUCAAAGCUUUGCUUCAUGUCCUUCACAAGUUUUCUCGAAUGCGUUGACAAGAUAACAAAACUUCUCUUAGUACUUAAACAGCUAACUAACUAGAUCACAAAAUAACAAGACUUUUCUUAGUACUUAAACAGCUAAUUAAGAAAUAAAUACAAGGCUUUGUCUAUUAAACCAAAACGGUAUAACUCAUACUGUCGUACAGAACCUAGUGUAGCGACAAUAUUGGGAUAUGCUUUGUCUACUACUAAUCACACUCACAAAGGUUUUGCAAAACAAAACAGAUUUUUGCUCAUGGAUUCUGUAAAUCCCAAUUAAUCUCCUACUAAUUUCUCUACUCUAAGAGUAUUAGCGUGUUACCAUAUCCACAAUAACAAAGCUUAAAGACAAGAGGUCUAUACUUAACAGAUUUGCCAAGAGGUAUCACUCAUUCACUCAUUAAAGAAAAAGAUGUGUAACUCAUUCAGUCAUAUACUAAGCUUAUAGACAAGAGGUGUGACUCAUUCAAAUUCACAAACUCACAAAGGUUUUGCAAGACAAACAGAUUUUUUUGUAAAUCCCAAUUAAUCUCCAUACCUCCUUAUACACAUUCGUUUGCAUUUAAGGACUUGAGCUACAGGGGAAGAGCCGGCAUUGUCACGAGUUUCGGGUUACUUGAUUAGAUGUUUUCAAUUUCAGAGAACUUGAAACCUUCUGCGUCAUAGUCUCCAUCUCCAUCUCCAACUUCAUAUCCAUCUGUGAGGUGAUUAUCGUCACCUCCAGUUUCCUAAUAAUCCACUUUGCUGCUGCUACUCUCAGUUUCACAGAUGUCCCCUUUGUCAGAACUCCACUCUGUCGUAUUCAUCUUCUUCUCUUUUAGACCAAAAAAAUUCUGAAGCCAACUCCUAAAACCUAUUUGUUUACUGGUUUUGAUGUUUUCAUCUCCAUUUCCAUCUUCGCUGCUGCUACUCUCAGUUUCAUGGCUGUCCACUUCGCUGCUGCUACUCUCAGUUUCAUAGUUGUCCAACUCCCUGAUGCUGCUACCCUCAGCUUCCUCUGUCAUGAUCUGUACACCACACUCACUAAUCUUGGCAUUGCCGACAUUGAAGCUGAACUCAAAUAUAAUCUCGCUCAUGGUCACAUCCACUUCAUGGCAUUUGUUUCCUUGGGGAAACAAAUCGCCAUGAAAUAUAAACAGAUGUUUUGACCGAAAAGACAAAGACAGAUAUUCAAACUCGUAGCUAUGAACUGUAACACCUCCUUUGCUUCUGAUACUACAACUUAUAGUUCUUAAUCCGGCGUACUCAACUGGCAAAAUGAGAAUGGAAGCCUUAAACCUUGAGGAAGCAGAGAGAGUACCCGGAGCCAGAGGGAUGGUUAUGGAUCUCCCUGUUGCUUUGUGAGUGAAAUCUGCAGGGAUGUUUUUACCUGGUAACCAUUUAUACAUGCCAACUGAUUGUUGUAUGAUUCCUCUUCUUGAUUCUUUAUCCAGUUUCAAACAGUUGCUGCCACUCUCAGUUUCAUGGCUGUCCACUUCGCUGCUACUACUCUCAGUUUCAUGGCUGUCCAAUUCCCUGAUGUUGCUACCCUCAACUUCCUCUCUCAUGAUCUGUACACCACACUCAAUAAUCUUGUCAUCGCCGAAAUCGCAGCUGAACUCAAAUAUAAUCUCGCUCAUGGUCACAUCGGCUUCAUGGCAUUUGUUUCCUUGGGGAAACAAAUCAUCAUGAAAUAUAAACAGAUGUUCUGACCGAAAAGACAAAGACAGAUGUGGACACUCGCAUCUAUGAACUGUAACACCUCCUUUGCUUCUUAUAGUACAGCUUACACCUUCAUAUCCGUAGUCCUUAACUGGGGAAAUGAGAAGGCAAGCCUUAAACCUUGAGGAAGCAGAGAGAGUACCCGGAGCCAGAGGGAUGGUUAUGGAUCUCCCUGUUGCUUUGUGAGUGAACUCUGCAGGGAUUUUUUUACCUGGUAAGCAUACAUAAUCGUAAAUUGAUUUUUGUAUGAUUCCUCUUCUUGAUUCUUUAUCCAGUUUCAAACAGUUGCUGAAUUGGAGUACAUUGGUUGGGGUAUGGAAAGAGAAGCGUACUCUCUUGAGUGAUACACAAUCGUUUGCAUCUAGGACCUUGAGGGAGGGGGGAAGACCCGGAAUUGACUCGAGUUUUGUGCACCUUUUGACAGAAAGCCAUUCUAGACGAGUGAGACCUAUGACGCAAUCUGGAAUCGUCUCUAUAUCACUGCCAUUAAGAAUUAGGUCAGUUAUAAAGAGUGGUACAUGUGUCAAUCUCUUGAGGCUGCUGCUGCAAAUGUUGAGGCGAUCAAGACGAGACAAACAUCCAGCAACUGAUGGAGGGACAUCUUCUAUAUCUGUAUCUCCGAGAUUGAGAACCUUGAUGUUACUGGAGAUUUCUGGAAAAGUUCUCAACCGUGAGCAACCAUUCAUGGUGAGUAUCUUAAGAGAUGCUAAGUUGAUGUUGCUGGGAAUAACUUGUAGCAUACAGCAAAAACCAACAUCUAGAAUCUUUAGUUUUUGUAGAUUCUUAAUAGAAGAUGGAAGCUCCACCAAACUUCCGCAGCCCUCAAGUGUCAAUUCCUCGAGAUUAGUAGCAUUUGAAAGAUUUGGGAUUUCUUUCAAUUGACGGGAAAACAUCAGAUCUAUGAUCUUGAGAUUAGGAAGGGACUGCAUGUUAAAUGAGAAAUAUUUCUUAUUUAAAUUGAAUCAUUAGAAGCACUAGAAAGAAUAUCGAAUACCAAACCUGGAUUCCUCCCCAGAGCUUCUCGAGAUUGCUAAAUGGCAUACGGAGUUCCAUGAGACGUUCCGGCUGAAACCUCCGAGGAAGACUUGUUCUUGGGUAAAAUUCCCAAUGUAGUAACCUAAGAAGAGGUAAAUAAUCCAAAUCUUCUGGUAUUUGCAAAGUACCUUCGCCGCCAAACCAACGCCUAAAGAUUCUUAGGAAUCGGAGAUUACGCAUUCCUUCAAAAGCCCCCUUACUUACAGAAACUUCUCCGAUAUUGGAUGUAUCAAAUGAUAUACCUAUGACUGAUCCAGUACCCUACAAAAUAACAUUGCCAAUGACUGAUGAAAUUGUUAUCACUAAAAAUAGGCAAUAUACAUGUAAGAACUUAAACUUACUGUUUCGGUUGACAGUACAUCACAAAUCUCAUCGGCCUCAAAUAAAAAUUGACGUUUCCCGGGCUCGUCAGACUGUUCAUGAACUAUCUGUCUACCCAAUUGUUGUAGUAGAUGGUGCAUCACUAUACGGCCAUAGGUAGAUUUAUGCACGAGAGAUUUAUCGGCUAGGGUCUCUAACCCAUUCCUAACAUCCAAGUUACUAUCAGAAAGCACAGAUAUCACAUUAUCAACGACUUCAUUGUUGAAGAAGCAUGCAAUGUGAAGGAAUAGAGAUUGAUUUUUCUUCGACAAACUGUCGAAUCCCACUUUCAAAAUGUCUUCAACUUUUCCAUCAAGACUUCCAUCAAUUCUAGAUAAUUGAAGUUCCCACUCUUGCUUGCUCUGCCCACGCAAAGAUGAACCCACGACACAAAGGCCUAAUGGAAGAUUGCCGCAAAGCUCUGCUACUUUAUUGGCAACCUCUUCAAAACCAUUUGGUACAGAGCUUUGUUUGAAAGCAGAGAGACAUAAGAUCUCAAGAGCUUCUUCCUCGGAUGGGAAAUCCACAUGGUAGAUAUCCUUGAUCCCAUGUGCCUCCAAAAUCUUCUUAUCUUCUGUGGUAACGAUGAUCCGGCUUCCAGAACCAAACCAAGAAGGUUCUUUAGCCAAUACCUCUAAUUGCUCUAGAUCAUCUACAUCAUCAAGAAUGAUGAGCACUCUUUGACGUUGUAGCCUUUCUUUGAUUGCACCUAAAUGACGCAUCUUCAUAUUCUCUUGGUUAAAAAUCUUAGACAAAAGUUGGUUUUGCAACCACAACUUGGAAUCAUGGUCAUCAACACCCAUUCUGCUCUUAAGACUACCCUUGAGGUUCCCCAUAAAACAUUUAAGUUGAAAAUUGCUAGAGAGUUGGUUGUCUAAAGCUCUAGCAAUGGUGGACUUACCAAUCCCUGCAGGACCCCAAAUCCCAAUCAUCUUGACUUCAUCACUUUCCAAGCAUAACAAAGAGUUCAAUUUUGCCAAGUGAGCUUCAUGUCCCACCAUCCCGUCAAAAUCCUUCGACGGUGUAAGAUUAAGUUUGUUUGAAACAUCGGUAGCAAUCUUUUUAAUCAUAUCUGCUUCAUUAGCCCUAACAAAAGCAAAACAAAAUCAUGUUGGUGGGUCGAAAUUACAAAAAUUUGAAGCACUAAUUCAUUCAGAGACAAAAAAAAAAAGAAAAAAAAAAAAAGAAGAAGAUAAAAACAAGAUACCAAUUAAGAGAAUGUUCUCCUUCUAUGUUUGCAGCAUGAGUCAAAGCAUUGCUCCAACUCUGCUUCGUCUCCUCACUUUUCCCUUCACAAGUCUUCAUGAAUGCGGUUCCGAAAUCUCCCUUCUGUUUCCGUACACUCGACGGAUCAACGUCAUAGAAGAUGGUCAUCACGAUCUGCCCCUGAUCUUCUUUGCACUUGAAGAUUUCCACAAGUUCAUCUAAACACCAGCUCGAAGAAGCGUACUUCUUCGAGAGCAGCACGAUCGAGACUCGAGAUUCUCUAAUCGCUUGUACGAGCUCAGGUUUAAUCGUGUGGCCUCUCUCGAUCUCCUGAUCUUUAAACGUCGUGAUCCCUUUGCUUGCGAAGUGAUCGUGUAAAUGACUGAGAAACCCUCUACGA